This 72-nucleotide transfer RNA is filed under the name Argiope bruennichi. RNAcentral's name for it is "transfer RNA alanine (anticodon UGC)". It matches the Rfam family "tRNA". Rfam says of the family: Transfer RNA (tRNA) molecules are approximately 80 nucleotides in length. Their secondary structure includes four short double-helical elements and three loops (D, anti-codon, and T loops). The record is from Rfam by way of RNAcentral. RNAcentral also lists the same sequence under 1 other name. Lineage: Eukaryota; Metazoa; Arthropoda; Arachnida; Araneae; Araneidae.
GGGGAUGUAGCUCAGUGGUAGAGCGCUCGCUUUGCAUGUGAGAGGCCCUGGGUUCGAUCCCCAGCAUCUCCA